This 490-nucleotide ribosomal RNA is filed under the name uncultured bacterium. Its description in RNAcentral is "partial 16S ribosomal RNA". It matches the Rfam family "Bacterial small subunit ribosomal RNA", at positions 30 to 507 of the family's 1533-position model. The record is from RNAcentral.
AUUGAACGCUGGCGGCAGGCCUAACACAUGCAAGUCGAACGGUAACAGGAAGCAGCUUGCUGCUUUGCUGACGAGUGGCGGACGGGUGAGUAAUGUCUGGGAAACUGCCUGAUGGAGGGGGAUAACUACUGGAAACGGUAGCUAAUACCGCAUAACGUCGCAAGACCAAAGAGGGGGACCUUCGGGCCUCUUGCCAUCGGAUGUGCCCCGAUGGGAUUAGCUAGUAGGUGGGGUAACGGCUCACCUAGGCGACGAUCCCUAGCAGGUCUGAGAGGAUGACCAGCCACACUGGAACUGAGACACGGUCCAGACUCCUACGGGAGGCAGCAGUGGGGAAUAUUGCACAAUGGGCGCAAGCCUGAUGCAGCCAUGCCGCGUGUAUGAAGAAGGCCUUCGGGUUGUAAAGUACUUUCAGCGGGGAGGAAGGGAGUAAAGUUAAUACCUUUGCUCAUUGACGUUACCCGCAGAAGAAGCACCGGCUAACUCCGUG